CCUACGGGUGGCAGCAGUGAGGAAUAUUGGUCAAUGGGCGCGAGCCUGAACCAGCCAAGUAGCGUGAAGGAUGACUGCCCUACGGGUUGUAAACUUCUUUUAUAAAGGAAUAAAGUGAGGCACGUGUGCCCUUUUGUAUGUACUUUAUGAAUAAGGAUCGGCUAACUCCGUGCCAGCAGCCGCGGUAAGACGGAGGAGCCGAGCGUUAUCCGGAUUUAUUGGGUUUAAAGGGAGCGUAGAUGGGUUGUUAAGUCAGUUGUGAAAGUUUGCGGCUCAACCGUAAAAUUGCACUUGAUACUGGCAGGCUUGAGUACAGUUGAGGUAGGCAGAAUUCGUGGUGUAGCGGUGAAAUGCUUAGAUAUCACGAAGAACUCCGAUUGCGAAGGCAGCUUACUAAACUGCCACUGACAUUGAUGCUCGAAAGUGUGGGUAUCAAACAGGAUUAGAUACCCGGGUAGUC
This 460-nucleotide ribosomal RNA is filed under the name uncultured bacterium. RNAcentral's name for it is "partial 16S ribosomal RNA". It matches the Rfam family "Bacterial small subunit ribosomal RNA", at positions 338 to 795 of the family's 1533-position model. The record is from RNAcentral.